This 301-nucleotide ribosomal RNA is filed under the name uncultured bacterium. RNAcentral describes it as "partial 16S ribosomal RNA". It matches the Rfam family "Bacterial small subunit ribosomal RNA", at positions 509 to 807 of the family's 1533-position model. The record is from RNAcentral.
CAGUCGCCGCGGUAAUACAGAGGGUGCGAGCGUUAAUCGGAUUUACUGGGCGUAAAGCGUGCGUAGGCGGCUAAUUGAGUCGGAUGUGAAAUCCACGAGCUUAACUUGGGAAUUGCAUUCGAUACUGGUUAGCUAGAGUGUGGGAGAGGAUGGUAGAAUUCCAGGUGUAGCGGUGAAAUGCGUAGAGAUCUGGAGGAAUACCGAUGGCGAAGGCAGCCAUCUGGCCUAACACUGACGCUGAGGUACGAAAGCAUGGGGAGCAAACAGGAUUAGAUACCCCUGUAGUCCCUGUCUCUUAUAC